This is a long non-coding RNA of Gossypium arboreum, 881 nucleotides long. RefSeq lists it as uncharacterized. The transcript has 2 exons. The record is from RefSeq and is a predicted model, not a curated record. Lineage: Eukaryota; Viridiplantae; Streptophyta; Magnoliopsida; Malvales; Malvaceae.
ACAAUUUACAAAUGAAAUAAAAUAAAAAUAAGAUCAAUGUGCCAUGCGCACAAACAUGUGGGGACUGGUAUUGAAAAUAUCCCGCGCCCAUAAUGCUGCAUUGAACCGCGGAUCAAGGUGAAAAAAUGCACAAAUUCUAGAGCUAAAUUUUAAAAAACAAAGUAGGAAAUCUGGAUGCAUUUGAGGGCUUUGCACAGAAAGAAGGACCCACUUCGGAAUUUGACCAUUUAAAAGGACAAGGCGCGGAUCCGGGUAUUCCAACAGGCUAGCGCGCGGAUCCUUAAAGCAUGGAACGGCGCCGUUUUUUGCACAAUGAAUUUAAAACCCUUUUUUCAUCCUUUUGUCCCAAAUACUGCCAACCUUCCAAACAAAGAACCACAGCCCCAAAAUUAAAAAUGCUAGGGUUCUUAACAUCUGACGGAUUCACCAUUUUGUUUGGCAAUCGAUAGUAUACCACCAUGAAUAGAUCCAUGCCACGUCCAUGAAAAUGUGAGGAGGCGUGUGGAGGAGGCCGCGCAAGGAGCCACUCGUGGGAGUCCCAAUUCUCUGGCCUAUUCUGGCACGUUCCAGAAGCUUCUAGUGCUGCUGAGAUAAUUUUGGGUGUAUUGGGCCUCGAGUUUUAGGGCUUGUCGGGUCAUGGGUUAUUUUGGUAAUUGGGUUGGGUGUUUAUUUUAUGUAAUUGGAGUAAUGGACCUUUAUUAUUUUUGAGGUUUUUUUUUAUUUUUGUUUUAUUUUUGGUUUUUAAUUUCUAUUUUUUAUUCCAAUGGGCCCGGGCGAAAUGGGCUAUUACAAUGGCAUUGUGGAAAUAUGAGUCCAGGUGGAGAUUUGUUAAAUAUGACUCCUAUUUUCAGUAAAAUUUGAAAAAUAAUCUUUCAGUUAAA